RNAcentral lists this ribosomal RNA (273 nucleotides) under uncultured bacterium. Its description in RNAcentral is "partial 16S ribosomal RNA". It matches the Rfam family "Bacterial small subunit ribosomal RNA", at positions 333 to 622 of the family's 1533-position model. The record is from RNAcentral.
UGUAGCCUACGGGGGGCAGCAGUGGGGGAUAUUGCACAAUGGGGGGAACCCUGAUGCAGCGACGCCGCGUGGGUGAAGGAGUAUUUCGGUAUGUAAAGCCCUAUCGGCAGGGAAGAAGCAAGACGGUACCUGACUAAGAAGCCCCGGCUAACUACGUGCCCGCAGCCGCGGUAAUACGUAGGGGGCAAGCGUUAUCCGGAAUUACUGGGUGUAAAGGGGGAGUAGGCGGCAUGGUAAGCCAGAUGUGAAAGCCUUGGGCUUAACCCGAGGAUU